This 73-nucleotide non-coding RNA is filed under the name bovine gut metagenome. RNAcentral describes it as "Cyclic di-GMP-I riboswitch". It matches the Rfam family "c-di-GMP-I riboswitch aptamer". Rfam says of the family: GEMM was predicted in a large-scale screen for bacterial structured RNA regulatory elements. Genes associated with GEMM are involved in a diverse array of functions, including chemotaxis regulation, signal transduction, secretion and chitin. The record is from RNAcentral.
AGAUAAAAGCAAAGCCGCAGUGAUGUGGUGACGCAAAGCUACAGGGUCUUUAUUACAAAGAUAGCCAGUUGCC